This 497-nucleotide ribosomal RNA is filed under the name uncultured bacterium. RNAcentral's name for it is "partial 16S ribosomal RNA". It matches the Rfam family "Bacterial small subunit ribosomal RNA", at positions 28 to 507 of the family's 1533-position model. The record is from RNAcentral.
GAUGAACGCUGGCGGCGUGCCUAAUACAUGCAAGUCGAGCGAACGGACGAGAAGCUUGCUUUUCUGAUGUUAGCGGCGGACGGGUGAGUAACACGUGGAUAACCUACCUAUAAGACUGGGAUAACUUCGGGAAACCGGAGCUAAUACCGGAUAAUAUUUUGAACCGCAUGGUUCAAAAGUGAAAGGCGGUCUUGCUGUCACUUAUAGAUGGAUCCGCGCUGCAUUAGCUAGUUGGUAAGGUAACGGCUUACCAAGGCAACGAUGCAUAGCCGACCUGAGAGGGUGAUCGGCCACACUGGAACUGAGACACGGUCCAGACUCCUACGGGAGGCAGCAGUAGGGAAUCUUCCGCAAUGGGCGAAAGCCUGACGGAGCAACGCCGCGUGAGUGAUGAAGGUCUUCGGAUCGUAAAACUCUGUUAUUAGGGAAGAACAUAUGUGUAAGUAACUGUGCACAUCUUGACGGUACCUAGUCAGAAAGCCACGGCUAACUACGUG